GUCAAUGUGGUGUAGUGGUUUAGGGCACUGGACUAUGACUCAAGACCAGAGUUUGAAUCCCCGCUCAGCCA
Phrynosoma platyrhinos (Desert horned lizard) is the source of this 71-nucleotide non-coding RNA. Lineage: Eukaryota; Metazoa; Chordata; Lepidosauria; Squamata; Phrynosomatidae. The record is from the annotation of a GenBank genome assembly.